UUGAAUAUUGGAACGCUGCGACUGAAAUCAGCGACCAAAAAUUGUUCAUGAUUUUCUGCUUCGUUAAUCACUUAACCGAGAAAAGGAGACGCAACGACAUAAAUUAUCAAAGCGCUACGGUGCUUCCGGUGUGGCCAUAAAAACCAGCGUCGCUAUUAUUCUUUUCAUUCUCUCCUCAGCGACAGAAAACAUAAAUUUUCU
This 201-nucleotide long non-coding RNA is filed under the name Brassica napus (rape). RNAcentral's name for it is "long non-coding RNA (BNAP_LNC003595)". The record is from RNAcentral. Lineage: Eukaryota; Viridiplantae; Streptophyta; Magnoliopsida; Brassicales; Brassicaceae.